ACGGGAGGCAGCAGCUAAGAAUAUUCCGCAAUGGACGAAAGUCUGACGGAGCGACGCCGCGUGGAUGAUGAAGGUCAGAAGAUUGUAAAAUCCUUUUAUAACUGAGGAAUAAGUCUGGUGAGAGAAACGCCGGAUGGUGACUGUAGGUUAUGAAUAAGCAACGGCUAAUUACGUGCCAGCAGCCGCGGUAAUACGUAGGUUGCAAGCGUUGUCCGGAUUUACUGGGUGUAAAGGGCGUGUAGGCGGAGCUGCAAGUCAGAUGUGAAAUCCCGGGGCUCAACCCCGGAACUGCAUUUGAAACUGUAGCCCUUGAGUAUCGGAGAGGCAAGCGGAAUUCCUAGUGUAGCGGUGAAAUGCGUAGAUAUUAGGAGGAACACCAGUGGCGAAGGCGGCUUGCUGGACGACAACUGACGCUGAGGCGCGAAAGCGUGGGGAGCAAACAGGAUUAGAUACCCUGGUA
Molecule: ribosomal RNA, 460 nt
Filed under: uncultured Oscillibacter sp.
Lineage: Bacteria; Bacillati; Bacillota; Clostridia; Eubacteriales; Oscillospiraceae
Description: partial 16S ribosomal RNA
Rfam family: Bacterial small subunit ribosomal RNA
Source: RNAcentral